RNAcentral lists this ribosomal RNA (422 nucleotides) under uncultured bacterium. Its description in RNAcentral is "bacterial SSU rRNA". It matches the Rfam family "Bacterial small subunit ribosomal RNA", at positions 355 to 774 of the family's 1533-position model. The record is from RNAcentral.
UAAGGAAUAUUGGACAAUGGACGCAAGUCUGAUCCAGCCAUGCCGCGUGAAGGAUGAAUGCCCUCUGGGUUGUAAACUUCUUUUAUAGGGGAAGAAAGAUACUUUUUUUAAGGUAGUUGACGGUACCCUAUGAAUAAGCACCGGCUAACUCCGUGCCAGCAGCCGCGGUAAUACGGAGGGUGCAAGCGUUAUCCGGAUUUACUGGGUUUAAAGGGUGCGUAGGCGGGCAUGUGAGUCAGUGAUGAAAUACCGGAGCUUAACUUCGGAACUGCCAUUGAUACUAUAUGUCUUGAAUAUUGUGGAGGUAAGCGGAAUAUGUCAUGUAGCGGUGAAAUGCAUAGAUAUGACAUAGAACACCGAUUGCGGAGGCAGCUUGCUACGCAAAUAUUGACGCUGAGGCACGAAAGCGUGGGGAUCAAACA